GAGUGUUGAAAUUAAAGCAAUGGGGAUACAGUCCUAAAGUCUGUGUUUGAAUUCUAUGUUAUUGAGUUUUCUAAAAAAUAAGCUGUCAGGGGCCAAAACAUCGUCCAGUUUGCUGAAGACGGCUAUACAUCUAUUGAAUAGAGAUUUAUUAUUUGAAAUGUGUUUUGAUUGUUUUGUGGCGAUAUCGUCUAUAAUGACGAAUUUGGUGCGAAAAUACCAAGAAUGAGAAUUCUAUUGUGGAUAAUUGUUCUCGAGUGACAGCAGUCCCAGCAAAGAGGAAGUAAAAGCUCAUUUGGGAUUGUAUUAAGUGAGGAACAAUGAAGAAAAAAAUAUUUGCAGGAAGACCGGAUUGGAUUUUAGGCCAUUUCAACAAUCUCAUCACAAGCAGGAUAAAAAAUUCAGAAAUAGAGAGAUGCUGAUUCAAAUCUCUGUUAUUAUGAAUCACGUUCUUUGUUGGCUUAACGUUCUGCUAUUUGCUUAUGAAAUAUUCGUAAAAGGAGCAGAACUUUCUGCUAAACAAGAACUGGCUAGCAAGGCAGUAAAAAUCCUGACUAUUUUACUCAAAUAUCUGCUUCAUCAUCGCCAAAAGGCUAUAGUAAAAAUGUUGAUACACAUUUCUAAAGAAUAUGAUAAAAUUACAGACAAGCAAAGGUAUUUGAAUAAAAGUGUUAUAUCCAUUGCUAUUGUUCUUAAUUUUGGCGUCCUAAUAAUAUUGUACUCAUUGGUUUUUUUAGAAAAUAUCGAAGCAACUGGAAGAUCAUUUAAGGAUUAUA
Argiope bruennichi is the source of this 773-nucleotide long non-coding RNA. RefSeq lists it as uncharacterized. The record is from RefSeq and is a predicted model, not a curated record. Lineage: Eukaryota; Metazoa; Arthropoda; Arachnida; Araneae; Araneidae. The transcript has 3 exons.